AGUUCCUGCCUGGGCUUCUCCACAAGAAUGACUGUCACCUUCAGCGGGAAGCCAGAUAAACCUAACUCUUCCUUCCCUGAACUACAUUUGCCAGGGCAUUCGUCAUAGGAACAGAAAUGAAGUCAGGACAGACAUCGUGUCUGUUUUGCUCGCCGUGGAUCUCCAGGAGUCAGCACGGGGCCAACACGCAGCUAUAGGAAGAGCAAAGCCUCCGCUUUGUCGACGUAGAGACUGGGUGCAGCGCAUCAGACACAUGCUCCGUCCGUUUAGAUUUUCCCACCACAUCCCAGCCCUGUGCGAACCCACAAAGCUUUGUAUGAAUAUCCGAUUGUUUCCUUGAGACAAAUUAUCGAAAGGAGCUAGCUGACUGAUGAAUGCUGAGGACCCACCUCCUUGUUUAGAAUUUUCCAAGUGGAAGAUUAUUCAUCAGAAACACGCAAGAGAGGAAAAGAUGUCUCCAGAGGAAGACAAAGCCACGUUGGCACCGAGGAGGGCCGGCCGGCAAUAAAGGCGGACCGAGAGAGAGAAGAAAGCCGCGGGACAAUCUGGCUGGGCCCUGUAGACUCAGUUGCUGCAGCAACAGAACUCAAACAAUGAAGAGGGGAGGGACUGCCAUUUUCUUCACUCUGUCCAGUUGUCAUGGAUACUGAGAUCUUAAAACCAAAGGGGUGGUAGUCUUCCCUGUGGGACUGAGUUCCACAGGAGCUUCAGAGUUCUACACCAGCAUAGCCUUGUCCCGGACUACAUGGGGUCAGCAGCUCCACUCUUCAUCCUCAAGUCAGGGGGAGCAAAGGAUGCAGAAUUCAUUUCUCCUAAUGGAACAAAAGGAGUACCAGGAGGCAAAUGGUGAUUCUAGACUAGAUCUCAGACAUCGGAAGCAACACCAGACUCUCAGAUCAAUAGAAAUAAUUCUGUAACAACCAACAGUUUGUUCAUAACAUUGAAUGUGUCCCCCUUCGUGACCCCCACUCUGUCCCAGAUGGAGCAUACCAGAGUGGCCACAGAGUAAAAAGUCUGAGGACACUAAAAGAUGAACACUGGGACUGUUCGGAAGCCCUGUGGUCUUUGCUGAGCCAGAGGUACAGCUUGAAAGGAGAAAAUGAAAUGCAGGCUGGGACUCAGUUCUCAACUACGUAGAGUAGUCAAGCUGUCCAUGCAAGGAAGCCCGAUGAAGAAGGCCAGGGAAGAAGCAGCCCUUGGUUCCAGCUUAACAAGGAGGAAGAGCCCUAUGCCUGGCUGGAAGACCCUGUGCAUGUCAUGCAGACAU
Peromyscus maniculatus bairdii (prairie deer mouse) is the source of this 1267-nucleotide non-coding RNA. The record is from RefSeq and is a predicted model, not a curated record. Lineage: Eukaryota; Metazoa; Chordata; Mammalia; Rodentia; Cricetidae.